This 253-nucleotide ribosomal RNA is filed under the name uncultured bacterium. RNAcentral's name for it is "partial 16S ribosomal RNA". It matches the Rfam family "Bacterial small subunit ribosomal RNA", at positions 524 to 776 of the family's 1533-position model. The record is from RNAcentral.
UACGAGGGGGGCAAGUGUUGUUCGGAAUUACUGGGCGUAAAGGGAGCGUAGGCGGGCUCUUAAGUUGGAUGUUUAAAACCGGGGCCUAACCCCGGCGUGGCAUCCAAAACUGGGAGUCUUGAAUGGGACAGAGGCCAGUGGAAUUGGAGGUGUAGCGGUGGAAUGCGUAGAGAUCUCCAAGAACACCAGUUGCGAAGGCGGCUGGCUGGGUCCACAUUGACGCUGAGGCUCGAAAGCGUGGGGAGCAAACAGG